AGCUAGGUGAUUUCCAUACUUAGUUACUUCUGCUCAAUGGUAAGCUAAAUAGCCGCAGUACCCUGACUGUGCAAAGGUAGCAUAAUCAUUUGGCUUAUAAUUGGAGUCUGGCAUGAAAGAAAUUAUGGGUAACAGCUAUCUUCUGUAAAUACUUAGAACUUACUAAGUAGGUGAAAAUUCCUAUAGACUUAUAAUAGACGAGAAGACCCUAGAAAUUUUAAUAUAAAAGUAUUUAAUUUACUUACUAUUUUGUUGGGGCGACAGAAUAACAGUUGAACUUAUUUUAAUUUAUUUGCACUAUUUGUUGAGAAAAAUUAAAUUACUCUAGGGAUAACAGCAUAAUUUAUUAAAGUUUGUGACCUCGAUGUUGGACUAGGAUUUUUAAUAAUCAGAAGUUAUUAAAAUAGGCUCUGUUCGAGCUUGUUUCCU
RNAcentral lists this ribosomal RNA (429 nucleotides) under Xerocrassa lasithiensis. Its description in RNAcentral is "partial 16S ribosomal RNA". It matches the Rfam family "Bacterial large subunit ribosomal RNA", at positions 1832 to 2597 of the family's 2925-position model. The record is from RNAcentral. Lineage: Eukaryota; Metazoa; Mollusca; Gastropoda; Stylommatophora; Geomitridae.